CCAGGGGGCCGGGCAGCCGCGUGAUCGCAAGAUCCCGAGGAAAGUCCGGGCUCCACGAAACAAAGGUGGCGGGUAACGCCCGCCGGCCCCGGACUCGAUCCGGGGUCAGGGAAAGUGCCACAGAGAGCAGACCGCUAACCCCGGAUCCAGGUCCGGGGCAGCAAGGGUGAAAGGGUGCGGCAAGAGCGCACCGCGCGACUGGCAACAGGAGCGGCAUGGCAAACCCCACCCGGAGCAAGACCGAAUAGGGACUGCGCGCCCCAAAAGGGCAGGCCUGUUUCGGGCCGGCAGUCCGGGUUGGUCGCUUGAGCGCGCCCGGCAACGGGCCGCCUAGAGGAAUGGCUGCCGGCGGGGAUACGGUCGACUUGUGCGAUACCGUCCGCGCCACAGAACCCGGCUUACAGGCCCCCUGGCAAG
Molecule: RNase P RNA, 417 nt
Filed under: Novosphingobium sp. AAP93
Lineage: Bacteria; Pseudomonadati; Pseudomonadota; Alphaproteobacteria; Sphingomonadales; Sphingomonadaceae
Description: bacterial RNase P
Rfam family: Bacterial RNase P class A
About the family: Ribonuclease P (RNase P) is a ubiquitous endoribonuclease, found in archaea, bacteria and eukarya as well as chloroplasts and mitochondria.
Source: RNAcentral